CGGGUGAGCGCAGGAUACUGAAAUGUGUCCCCCGGCGCCCUGGGAUCCGGGGCCUGUGCUGUUGGAAUCGUGCUCCCAGGCUGCAGCUCCCG
RNAcentral lists this microRNA precursor (92 nucleotides) under Canis lupus familiaris (dog). RNAcentral describes it as "mir-8799 microRNA precursor family". It matches the Rfam family "mir-8799 microRNA precursor family". The record is from Rfam by way of RNAcentral. RNAcentral also lists the same sequence under 1 other name. Lineage: Eukaryota; Metazoa; Chordata; Mammalia; Carnivora; Canidae.